This 1224-nucleotide ribosomal RNA is filed under the name Alloalcanivorax dieselolei. RNAcentral describes it as "bacterial SSU rRNA". It matches the Rfam family "Bacterial small subunit ribosomal RNA", at positions 36 to 1274 of the family's 1533-position model. Lineage: Bacteria; Pseudomonadati; Pseudomonadota; Gammaproteobacteria; Oceanospirillales; Alcanivoracaceae. The record is from RNAcentral.
CUGGGGGGCAGUCAUACACAUGCAGUCGAGCGGAACAUAUGGGAGCUUGCUCCCAGACGUCGAGCGGCGGACGGGUGAGUAACACGUGGGAAUCUGCCCAUUAGUGGGGGAUAACUCGGGGAAACUCGAGCUAAUACCGCAUAAUCCCUACGGGGGAAAGCAGGGGAUCUUCGGACCUUGCGCUGAUGGAUGAGCCCGCGUCGGAUUAGCUUGUUGGUGGGGUAAUGGCCCACCAAGGCGACGAUCCGUAACUGGUCUGAGAGGAUGGCCAGUCACACCGGGACUGAGACACGGCCCGGACUCCUACGGGAGGCAGCAGUGGGGAAUCUUGGACAAUGGGCGCAAGCCUGAUCCAGCCAUGCCGCGUGUGUGAAGAAGGCCUUCGGGUUGUAAAGCACUUUCAGUAGGGAGGAAGGCUUUGGGCUAAUACCCUGGAGUACUUGACGUUACCUACAGAAGAAGCACCGGCUAAUUUCGUGCCAGCAGCCGCGGUAAUACGAAAGGUGCGAGCGUUAAUCGGAAUUACUGGGCGUAAAGCGCGCGUAGGCGGUGUGUUAAGUCGGAUGUGAAAGCCCAGGGCUCAACCUUGGAAUUGCAUCCGAUACUGGCACGCUAGAGUGCAGUAGAGGGAGGUGGAAUUUCCGGUGUAGCGGUGAAAUGCGUAGAGAUCGGAAGGAACACCAGAUGGCGAAGGCGGCCUCCUGGACUGACACUGACGCUGAGGUGCGAAAGCGUGGGGAGCAAACAGGAUUAGAUACCCUGGUAGUCCACGCCGUAAACGAUGUCUACUAGCCGUUGGGGUCCUUGGUGACUUUAGGUGGGCGCAGCUAACGCGAUAAGUAAACCGCCUGGGGGAGUACGGCCCGCAAGGUUAAAACUCAAAUGAAUUUGACGGGGGCCCGCACAAGCGGGUGGGAGCAUGGUGGUUUAAUUCGAUGCAACGCGAAGAACCUUACUAGGCCUUGACAUCCUGCGAACUUGCUAGAGAUAGAUAGUGCCUUCGGGAGUCGCAGUGACAGGUGCUGCAUGCUGUCGUCAGCUCGUGUCGUGAGAUGGUGGGUAGUCCCGUACGAGCGCACCUUGUCUAGUUGGCAGCACUCCGGGUGACUCUAGAACUGCAGUGACAUCGGAGACGUGGACACGUCAGUCAUCAUGCUUACGCUGGCACACGUCUCAUGGUGCAAGUGCCAUCGAGUGGCGACUAUCUCAGGCAAUCGUGAAUCG